ACUUCAAAAUUCAAUCUGUUUUUGCAAAAUUGGAAAGCCACAGGAAACUUAUAAACCAAAGUUUGACUGGAACUUGCUACAAGUACUCAGUCCCUCCGUGGGAGCACCAUAGAAGAGCAGAGAUCCCGGCUUCUGAGCCAGACGCCAGAUGCUUCCCCUGCCCCAGCUGGUGGUUGUGCUUGUCACUGACUACUUGGGUGAUUCCUGCCGUUUGUAUGCUUCUCCGGCUGUGUGGGAGACACACUUCACCUUGUGGCUCCGCCCUACAAAGGUUCCGUUUGCUGCCUGGAAGAGCAGUCGACUGUGCCGAUCGGGAACGUCUCAUCGCACCCCUUUUCCACGCCAUCUGUCUGACCUGGACCCAUUCCAAACACUAUGGCUUUGCUGGCAGAAUGGUCUUCCUGCUACAGAAGUUUUGUAAUCUGCUAAUUGACAGGGCAUCCCGUUUGUGCGCGAUCACGCACUCCCCCCUGUGUUCUCUGCCUCAUUGAGAAUAUGGCAUCUCUUGGAGAAGAACACCAAUAUGAUCUACUAGAGAAUUAUCCUCUACUUAGUUUACUCAUUAAGCAAUGAUUUUAUUAUUAUUAUCUCUUUGUAGCAUGAGACAGAUGGCAAAGAAGGAGUUUGCUUUGCUGAACAAGAUGC
Molecule: long non-coding RNA, 645 nt
Organism: Mustela erminea (ermine)
Lineage: Eukaryota; Metazoa; Chordata; Mammalia; Carnivora; Mustelidae
Exons: 4
Source: RefSeq, a predicted model, not a curated record